AGAGUUUGAUCCUGGCUCAGGAUGAACGCUAGCGGCAGGCUUAACACAUGCAAGUCGAGGGGCAGCACGGGUAGCAAUACUUGGUGGCGACCGGCGCAAGGAUGCGUAACGCGUGAGCAACAUGCCCGUAUCAGGGGGAUAAUCCAUGGAAACGUGGUCUAAUACCCCAUAGUAAGUUUUUGGGGCAUCUCAAAGAUUUUAAAGCUUUGGUGGAUACGGAUUGGCUCGCGUGACAUUAGCUAGAUGGUAAGGUAACGGCUUACCAUGGCUACGAUGUCUAGGGGUUCUGAGAGGAAGGUCCCCCACACUGGAACUGAGACACGGUCCAGACUCCUACGGGAGGCAGCAGUGAGGAAUAUUGGACAAUGGAUGGAAAUCUGAUCCAGCCAUGCCGCGUGCAGGAAGACGGCCCUAUGGGUUGUAAACUGCUUUUGUAUGGGAGCAAUAAGGGCUACGUGUAGUCCGAUGAGAGUACCAUACGAAUAAGCACCGGCUAACUCCGUGCCAGCAGCCGCGGUAAUACGGAGGGUGCAAGCGUUAUCCGGAUUUAUUGGGUUUAAAGGGUGCGUAGGCGGUUUGAUAAGUCAGCGGUGAAAUAUUUCAACUUAACUGGAAGGGUGCCGUUGAUACUGUCGAGCUUGAAUUUAGUUGCUGUGGGUGGAAUGUGUGGUGUAGCGGUGAAAUGCAUAGAUAUCACACAGAAUAUCGAUUGCGAAGGCAGCUCACAAAGCUAAUAUUGACGCUGAUGCACGAAAGUGUGGGGAUCAAACAGGAUUAGAUACCCUGGUAGUCG
Molecule: ribosomal RNA, 793 nt
Filed under: uncultured bacterium
Lineage: Bacteria
Description: bacterial SSU rRNA
Rfam family: Bacterial small subunit ribosomal RNA
Source: RNAcentral